Molecule: long non-coding RNA, 240 nt
Organism: Tupaia belangeri chinensis (Chinese tree shrew)
Lineage: Eukaryota; Metazoa; Chordata; Mammalia; Scandentia; Tupaiidae
Exons: 3
Source: RefSeq, a predicted model, not a curated record
AGCAGAGGGUGGAAAGAGAGGAGAGAAGGAUAAUUCCGAUUUCCCAGGAAUGUAGUCUCUCGGCCACUGAGAUUCCCUAAAUCGGCAUCUGCAGUGAACAGGGGAUUAACUGCUUGCAGUCAUGAUGCGGCUGUGAUGAUGUGUACGGUAUUCUCAGCUAGGCUGGUCUGAGACUCCACUGACGACAGCACCUCUGCAGAAGAUUUCCACUGUGGUGGCUUGCUCACAAAUAACUCGGGC